Molecule: long non-coding RNA, 861 nt
Organism: Oreochromis aureus
Lineage: Eukaryota; Metazoa; Chordata; Actinopteri; Cichliformes; Cichlidae
Exons: 3
Source: RefSeq, a predicted model, not a curated record
CUCCGCCGUGGUGGCCUCCCUCUCUGUGGUUGUGCCUCUUGUGCUUUCUGCGCUCUCUCCUGGUCUUGUGGUGGUGGCGCCGGUAACGGUGAGCUCGCCGGGCUGGAGGAGCAACCAAAGCGGAAGAGAGAAACUUUGAAGGCUGACAGGCCAGUGUUGCCAUUUGCAAGAGGGCAGAUGACAGGAGUCCAGAGAGAGAGGAAAUGAGUGAGAGAGACAGCAAGAAUCUGCUGAUAAAGAUUGAUGCUGAUGUAGGAGGCUGAGGUAAAAGAGAGGGCAACAGGAGCCUUUAGACGGAAACGGCAACAAUUCACACAGCAGGCACACAGCUGGUCCGUUUUAUACGGGUGGGCACAGUGUGUACUUAGCAUAUGAUGUUAAUAUAUUGGUGUACAUCCAUUGUCUGCAUCUUUGCCAGUGUUAUUCUAAGAGGAGUAGGCCGGUAAUGGCUUUAAAGGUUUGCAGCUAAUGUAAAGCUUAAGGAAGGCAAACACACCUACACCUCCAGACAGAGCAGGUCACAUUUUAUUAUUGUAUAAUACACUUUAAAAAGUAUGUACUUGAUUUUUAAAUUCUUGCCUGCCCAGGACGCUGCAUCACAACUGUAUGGCAGAUGGUUGCCUGCUUAACCAGUGAGUUAAACUGGCGCCCACAUAGUAAUUGCUGCAUUAAUUAACAAAGUGUAAUGUGUUGGGGAUUUUGAAUCCCUUGUGAAUAUAAGUGAGUUUGGGCUUCUGUUGAGUUUAUAUUGUGAUUCCAAGUGUUUCAAAUCUGUGUUUGUUGGGUUUUGAUUUGUUUAUUCUGCUAGACUGUAAGCUUAAUUCUCUGUAAAACCUUUGAGUCACUGACUCAUGUUCAGUG